Molecule: ribosomal RNA, 414 nt
Filed under: uncultured prokaryote
Description: bacterial SSU rRNA
Rfam family: Bacterial small subunit ribosomal RNA
Source: RNAcentral
GUGCCAGCAGCCGCGGUAAUACGGUGGGAGCGAGCGUUGUCCGGAAUCACUGGGCGUAAAGGGUGUGUAGGCGUCCCGGUAAGUCUCUGGUGAAAGCCUUCCGCUCAACGGAAGAAUUGCCAGAGAUACUGUCGGGAUUGAGUCCGGGAGAGGGGAGCGGAAUUCCUGGUGUAGCGGUGAAAUGCGUAGAUAUCAGGAAGAACGCCAGAGGCGAAGGCGGCUCCCUAGCCCGGUACUGACGCUGAGGCACGAAAGCGUGGGGAGCGAACGGGAUUAGAUACCCGGGUAGUCCUGGCCGUAAACGAUGGAUGCUAGAUGUGGGCGGGGAGACCCGUCCGUGUCGCAAGCUAACGCGUUAAGCAUCCCGCCUGGGGAGUACGGCCGCAAGGUUGAAACUCAAAGGAAUUGGCGGGG